Molecule: non-coding RNA, 88 nt
Filed under: Clostridium autoethanogenum
Lineage: Bacteria; Bacillati; Bacillota; Clostridia; Eubacteriales; Clostridiaceae
Description: c-di-GMP sequence
Rfam family: c-di-GMP-I riboswitch aptamer
About the family: GEMM was predicted in a large-scale screen for bacterial structured RNA regulatory elements. Genes associated with GEMM are involved in a diverse array of functions, including chemotaxis regulation, signal transduction, secretion and chitin.
Source: RNAcentral
CAUUGAUAAUAGCACAUUUAUCGAAAGGUAAAGUCGCAAAGCUAUGGGUCUAAAGAAAAUUAUUUUCUAUGAUUGCCAGGUUACCAAA